Paramuricea clavata is the source of this 467-nucleotide non-coding RNA. NCBI's taxonomy places the organism in Eukaryota, Metazoa, Cnidaria, Anthozoa, Malacalcyonacea, Plexauridae. The record is from the annotation of a GenBank genome assembly.
CCGUUUCAUUCUGUUUAAUUUCAUUUUUUAUUUUCCAGGCUGCUUGUGUUUAUUCCUCAAACACUCGAGUGGUCAAUGCGUGCGUAGUGCAAAAACAGCUUAUCUCUCGACGCAAUUCGCUCAUAUCUGGUAUUUACAACUAACUAACGAUUGUUCAGCGCCCGAAGCUCAGUUUCGUUUUAUAAACCACGGAGUUUUACAACACGUUUCCUCGAGUGGCUGCGUGCUUCCAACAGAUGCCAAAGCGUUGCCUUCGGCGGGGGUAAAGUUGGUCGUUUUCGCUGCUAAAGAUGUUUGCGCGAACAGAAGCAGCCAAGCUUACACCCAGACGGAGUAUGGUUCGUUACGUCAUGCGAGUUCAAAAUGUAUCCAACCACAUGUGUCCCUCUUUUCAUCUGUGCCGUCUGCGGGCGCUCAGAUCGAGUACACAGCAGAUUGCAAUGAAACAAUGCAGUACUUUGUGUUAG